UCUCUCCAUUCCAAUCAAAUCAUUUCAAUUUCAAUCAUCCAUUUCUUCUUGCCUCUAAUCAAUUUUUUUCAGCCCUAAUGGGCUGAACUACGAACGCUUUGAUUUCCUCAUUGCACAAUGAGGGUACGUAGGCUGGAGAACCCAGUUUCUUCACGAGCUAUCUUAUCUAAAUCCUAUCUAUCGAUCAAUCAUUCUUCAUUCAUUC
RNAcentral lists this long non-coding RNA (205 nucleotides) under Lathyrus oleraceus (garden pea). RNAcentral's name for it is "Pisum sativum (pea) long non-coding RNA (PSAT_LNC026548)". The record is from RNAcentral. Lineage: Eukaryota; Viridiplantae; Streptophyta; Magnoliopsida; Fabales; Fabaceae.